This is a long non-coding RNA of Gallus gallus (chicken), 357 nucleotides long. NCBI's taxonomy places the organism in Eukaryota, Metazoa, Chordata, Aves, Galliformes, Phasianidae. The record is from Ensembl.
AUUCUAUCUUUCAAUCACAUGCAUCAGUACAGUUUGGGGCAUGACCUGCUGGAGAUGAGCUCUGCAUAGAAGGACUUGGGUCCUGAUGGACGACAGGUUGGCCAUGAGUCAGCAGCGUGCCUUUGUGGCUGAGAAGUAUUCCACAUUGUAACAUCGUGUAGAGCACUCAGAGUUAAAGAGUUAAUACUCCAGUUCCACGGAUCGUCGAUAGUUCCGGAUAUGCCUGUCUCAGAAGGGAAGAAGAACUACAUACCCCGGAGGACUUUGUGUUUCCAUUUUCUGCUCAGAGAGAAAGAUAAAUUCUGUCUGCAGGUCAUGAGAUGCCCCUUUUCCCUUUCUGCUCAUCUCUCUCAUUUU